Molecule: ribosomal RNA, 216 nt
Filed under: Glomeromycotina sp.
Lineage: Eukaryota; Fungi; Glomeromycota
Description: partial small subunit ribosomal RNA
Rfam family: Eukaryotic small subunit ribosomal RNA (bases 44-216)
Source: RNAcentral
GGCUCAGUAGGUUGGUCGUGCCACCGGUACGUACUGGUCACACUGAUUCCUCCUUCCUGAAGAACCGUAAUGCCAUUAAUUUGGUGUUGCGGGGAAACAGGACUGUUACUUUGAAAAAAUUAGAGUGUUUAAAGCAAGCUAACGCUUGAAUACAUUAGCAUGGAAUAAUGAAAUAGGACGAUCGAUCCUAUUUUGUUGGUUUCUAGGAUUGACGUA